UGGGGAAUAUUGGACAAUGGGGGCAACCCUGAUCCAGCCAUGCCGCGUGAGUGAUGAAGGCCUUCGGGUUGUAAAGCCCUUUUGGCGGGGACGAUGAUGACGGUACCCGCAGAAUAAGCCCCGGCUAACUUCGUGCCAGCAGCCGCGGUAAGACGAAGGGGGCUAGCGUUGUUCGGAAUUACUGGGCGUAAAGCGAGUGUAGGCGGUUGCCGUAGUCAGGUGUGAAAGCCUUGAGCUCAACUCAAGAAAUGCACUUGAUACUGGGUGACUAGAGGACCGGAGAGGAUAGUGGAAUUCCCAGUGUAGUGGUGAAAUACGUAGAGAUUGGGAAGAACACCAGUGGCGAAGGCGGCUAUCUGGACGGUUACUGACGCUAAGACUCGAAAGCGUGGGGAGCAAAACAGGAUUAGAUACCCUGGUAGUCCACGCCGUAAAACGAUGGGUGCUAGACGUUGGCGAGCUUGCUCGUCAGUGUCGCAGCU
RNAcentral lists this ribosomal RNA (482 nucleotides) under uncultured bacterium. RNAcentral's name for it is "partial 16S ribosomal RNA". It matches the Rfam family "Bacterial small subunit ribosomal RNA", at positions 355 to 853 of the family's 1533-position model. The record is from RNAcentral.